GGGUCUAUCAGUGACCCAUGUCAGCACCGGGUUACUGCCCGCCCACCGGACUUAGAUUUCAAAGAGAAGUCUCAGCACGUUUGAUAAACCGAGGAUGGACUGGGACGGUUAGUAUCAGAGCCGCUGGGAACGAGAUCACUGCCGCUGGCUGGCGGGGCAGGGCCCCCAGCAUCUGAGAACGCAGGUCGGGCUCAGCCUGCGCGCAUGCGCGGGGCUCCGGGUCGCAGCUGAGCGAAGCCACGCCCACCGCCUGCAGCCGGGACCCCUGCCUCAGGGUCGGGGCGCACUUAGCGCUCCACUGCCACGUAAACGAAUAUCACAACGGCAGUUCCAUCAGCAUCUUUUGUCAAAAAGGAACAAACAAAGCUGCUUAGAAGCUGGCCAGCCCGGAACUAAGUGCCCUCUUCAGACUGGCUGCGACCUGCUGGCCCGGGGGCUGUCUCUCUGCCUGGGGCCUAAUGCUUGAGGUUCCAGGGCCACGGCCUGCUGCCUGGGGUCUGUCGUGGGGACUCCAGACUUGCUCUCUUUGUCUCCCCAUUAGUGACUGAGGAACCCUGUACCUCCCUUCAAAACUAUUGAUUCCGAAACAGGUUCUUUGAUAAGAGGCAGCUUUGCCUGAGGCUUGGCGGUGACUUUUAGAGGGUUGUUUAUCCUUGGAGAAGGAUUUUAAAUGAUCGCUCCCCUGAGGCGAACCGUGCGCCAAGAAAAGAAGGCACAGACAUUGCUUUGUAGAACGAAGCUGGCUCAUUUCCACUCCGGACCCAAACCUACCAAUCUGAUUAUUUAUUGGGUGAGUGCAGAUGUCUGGACAGUAUUCACUUUUUUAUUAAUGCAUCUGGUUCAUAAGCAUCACCCGAGCGUCUGCACAGGCCAGGUGUGUGCCGCAGAGGGCAGGCUGGCUCAGGAGAGGUGGUUCUGCCCACCAGGCUUUGCAUUCUCCGGAAGCUGAUGCUGAGGACGGGAGUGGGGUCCCUGCCUUCCGGGUCCCCUCGCGGGAGUCUCCCUUCACAGAGGCUAUCCCCUCACAAACUCAGCUUUCCUCCCUGGAGGUGUGUGUGCCUUGCUCCCCAGCGACCUGGCUUGUGUUGGGCCGGCACUGUACCAUGCGCCUGGCAGCUGGAAAAUCAGCACAGGAAUUGAGUGGCAUACAGGUGCAAAGAUGCAUCUGCCUGCAGGCAUAUUUUUGCAGACCAGAGAGAAAUCCAAAAAGAGCAGGUCUCGCUAUCACGCGGAGGGGUUAGGGAGCUGGCUCCCGUGAUCACCGCAGGGCAUUGGUACAGAGACUGUGACGAUGAAGCCAGCCCUUCUAACCCGAGUCCCGCUCGUGAAGCUCACCCUCUGGGGGAGAAGUGUGACUCCAGGAGGAGAAAGCGUCUGCAUUCCCCAUCCCACAAAGACACCCUCCCCCCAGAGGGGCACCGUCCUGGGGCAGCCAGCGGGACCCUGGGGGGCAGGACCUGCCAUCCCCCCUGAAAUUCUGCCAUGCACGCUGUGAGGCCAGGACCGUCCUUGGGAAGAGGACCGCGUGGGGCAGAGAUGAGAGGCCUGGGACUCACGGUCCUGGAGGCUGAGGCAAAAUGGAGUUGGCUGCCUUGAAACCUCAUUUCAUGGAGCUUAGCUUCAUUCAACAAACACUCCUGAGUUCCCUCUGGCCCCCAGCUGGGAGAGGCAGACAGCCAACAGCCGGCGGGCAGGGUACUAAGGCCGAAAACUCAGACGAGAUCAGAAGAGUCCCCUUGGGCCCUUUGACUCCAUUUUAGAGACAAACACACAUCUAGAAGCAAAUACCUCUAGGAUUUAUGGGCAGGACAUGUGACGUAGUGGUCCUUGGGGGGUUUCGCAUUCAGAGAGGAAGGGGCAGUGAAGGGCCCAUCCGCCUGCCUGGGGCAGAGGGGUGGUGAGGAUGAAAGGCAAGGGGGCUCUCCCCAUCUACUGGCUCAGAAUCCCACUGGCUCAGAGGCAGAAUCCCCCUGCUUCAGGCACGGCAGCCUUCACCCCACCUGGAUCUGGCUUCACGGGGUCAGCCUCCUGCUGGCCUCUGAACUCUGACCCCAGCUCCUGCCAGCACACAGGAUUCCACCCAGGAGGUCCUGAAUUGCCAGCUGGAGAAGUCAUCCUUCUGGAGAACGCGUCCAGAGGAGCAGAGCCCACCCUUAGGAGGAGAAACAUGCCGCUUUCGGUUUCCAGGACACGGGAUUGCACCAAGCCAUCACAAAGGACUUUAACUGCUGCCAAGAAAUACUUCUGAACAUCGGUCCUCAGAUUGGCAGUGUUGUUUGAGAAGUUUGCCCAAAAAACUUUACUUUUUCUGACAUUUUUCUUCACCUCUUAUUCCCUUAAAAUUGGUUGUUGUUAUUACGUCACUCAGUCGUGUCUGACUCUUUGUGACCCCACGGACUGCAGCACGCCAGGCCUCCCUGUCCAUCACCAACUCCUGGAGCUUGCUCAAACUCAUGUCCAUCAAGUCGGUGAUGCCAUCCAACCAUCUCAUCCUCUGUUGCCCCCUUCUCCUCCUGCCCUCAAUCUUUGUUACAGAUUUAUUCCCAGUAUACCAAUAGCUCUAUUUUAACAUUUUUGGAUAAAAAGUCAAAGUUCUAUGGGAAGAAGUUCUUGAUAUACUUAUUAAGUGAAAAGUUUAUUUAAAGCAGUUUCAUCAUCCAGUGCUUCAUCUGUAAAUAUAUAGAUGCUUUACUAUUUGAGAAUUAGCUACACAGAAAUUGCUGUGUGUUGUCUCUGGAUUGUAGACUAUAGGCUGCCCCUGCUCCCCCUUCCUCUCCUCAUCUUUAACUGUACUUUCUAAACUUUCUACAAUGGUUUCAAUUGCUUUGUAAUAAAAAUAUUAAAGCAAAAAAUGCUUACUCUAAGUUGAAAGAAAAUAAAUGAAAAUUGAAAUAUA
This is a long non-coding RNA of Cervus elaphus (red deer), 2896 nucleotides long. RefSeq lists it as uncharacterized. NCBI's taxonomy places the organism in Eukaryota, Metazoa, Chordata, Mammalia, Artiodactyla, Cervidae. The transcript has 2 exons. The record is from RefSeq and is a predicted model, not a curated record.